GAUGAACGCUGGCGGCGUGCCUAAUACAUGCGAGUCGAGCGAACGGACGAGAAGCUUGCUUCUCUGAUGUUAGCGGCGGACGGGUGAGUAACACGUGGAUAACCUACCUAUAAGACUGGGAUAACUUCGGGAAACCGGAGCUAAUACCGGAUAAUAUUUUGAACCGCAUGGUUCAAAAGUGAAAGACGGUCUUGCCGUCACUUAUAGAUGGAUCCGCGCUGCAUUAGCUAGUUGGUAAGGUAACGGCUUACCAAGGCAACGAUGCAUAGCCGACCUGAGAGGGUGAUCGGCCACACUGGAACUGAGACACGGUCCAGACUCCUACGGGAGGCAGCAGUAGGGAAUCUUCCGCAAUGGGCGAAAGCCUGACGGAGCAACGCCGCGUGAGUGAUGAAGGUCUUCGGAUCGUAAAACUCUGUUAUUAGGGAAGAACAUAUGUGUAAGUAACUGUGCACAUCUUGACGGUACCUAAUCAGAAAGCCACGGCUAACUACGUG
This 497-nucleotide ribosomal RNA is filed under the name uncultured bacterium. Its description in RNAcentral is "partial 16S ribosomal RNA". It matches the Rfam family "Bacterial small subunit ribosomal RNA", at positions 28 to 507 of the family's 1533-position model. The record is from RNAcentral.